Acinonyx jubatus (cheetah) is the source of this 8195-nucleotide RNA transcript. It is a transcript of the gene named pentatricopeptide repeat domain 2, with no coding region annotated. NCBI's taxonomy places the organism in Eukaryota, Metazoa, Chordata, Mammalia, Carnivora, Felidae. The record is from RefSeq and is a predicted model, not a curated record. The transcript is spliced from 12 exons.
UCCGCCCCCUUCCCCGGCGCGCGAAGUUGUUGCGGCCCAGGAUAACAUGGCUGCCGCAGUUCGGCAGCCGGGUCACGUUUUGCUGUUUACGCUGCAGAGUUCCGUGUCUCCCGGGGUGGGAGGCUCAGGCUCCACAUGCUGCCGCUGCCCUCUCGGAGCUAAAAGAUAUCUACUUACAGAUAAUGUUGUGAAAUUAAAAGAAUUUCAGCGUAAGAAGGUGGUUAUUGCAAAUCAUCUUCCUGGUACUAAAGCAACCUACCUGAGAAACAUGAAAGAGAAAUUGGCCCAGAAUAAGCUCAUCUUGAAGGACGAGUUGAAAACCUUCCUUCAUUUGUGUGAUACCCGGGAUGAUGUGGAACUGGCUAAAAAUGUCAUUUACAGGUACCAUACAGAGAACAGAAAUGUCGCUUUGGGAGAGUAUAAAUUUGGACCACUUUUCAUGAGGUUGUGCUACGAGUUGGAUCUUGAGGAAUCUGCAUUGGAACUCAUCAAAGACCAGCAUUUACGGGGUUUCUUCUCAGACACCACGUCAUUCAAUAUUUUGAUGGAUAUGUUAUUUAUUAAAGGCAAAUAUACAAGUGCGCUGGAAGUGCUGAUAGAGAUGAAAAACCAAGAUGUGAAAUUCAACAAAGAAACCUAUGUCCUUGCUUUUGCAAUUUGCUACAAACUGAAUAGCUCUGAAUCUUUGAAAAUCUGUACUACAUUAAGAGAAGAAGCCCUAAUCAAAGGAGAAGUCCUCUCCAGGAGAGCAUCCUGUUUUGCUGUGGCACUAGCUCUGAAUCAGAACCAGGUGGCGAAAGCUAUAUCAAUUUUUUCUCAAAUCAUGAAGCCAGAAAGCAUUAUCUGCACUAAUUUAAAUAUUUUGAUUCAUAUCCAGUCAAAUAUGUUGAAAACCCUGAUAAAGAUAUUAAAGGAUGCUGCAGACGGAAAUUUAUCAAAAUUUGUGAAAAGACAGGAGUUCUCAGAAGAAGUGGCCAUCAGAUUGGCAACAAAUAAAUUGCAUCCAGGCUGCUAAGGGGGACUAAAAAAUGAUUUCAGACAACAUGCAUCUAUUGAAUGUUUGAAAAAGAACCCGAGGAGAGAGUGUCUCUUAGGAUCUGUGUCUGAGAAGCUUCAUUGUCGUCUUUGGUCCCAACUACUUCACCAGCAACUGUAACCCAGAACAAAACUGAGAGAAACCAGAUUGCUUAAUUUACAUACAUUACUUGGUAAAUAUGCUCUCUUGUCAAAUGAGUAAAAAGCAUGGGUUUUAUGAUAGCCCUGAGACUCUGAUUCAUCCCUUCUAUCAUUAUGUGAGGAGAUGGGCUUUAUAGUAAGUGGCAUUUUGUGCUUAGAAAAAUACAUAUUUUUGUUACUAUUAUAAUUAGCCUUCAACAGAACAAGUCACUUGGACCCCCAAAACAGAUUUUGAACCGCCCACUUUAACUCUUCCUUGCUACCUCCUUAAUCAAGGCCAAUGUUAUCUCUCACAGACUAUUAAAACUGCCUCCUACAGGUCUCCCAAUAUUAUUCUGGCUUCCUUCCAACCCAUCCUCCACACUUUAGUCAAAAUGAAUUUUGGAACAUGUUAAUCUCAUUAUCUUGCCCUCAUUGCCCAGUGGCUUUCCAUGUCAACCUCACCCUACAUCACUCUCCCUCUCUUGCUGUGUGCUGCCCACACCAUCUUCUCUCUUUGGCCGUGUUCUCUAUACCACAGUCCUUUGUGCAUGCUCUCUUCUCUGUCUGGAAUGCUCUUCUCCCAGUUUUCCCCAUGGUUGGCUCCUGAUGUCCUUAAGUUCUCAAAUCAAAUAUAAGUUUUUCAGACAGACAAUUCCUAACCACUGUAAUUAAAGUAGGUAUUCCCAAUUAUUCUCUGUCUAGGGUGGAUAGACAUAUGGGAGUGAACACAAGUAUGAAAAUCUUUGUAUCACAUAUUAACAUCCAUUGGGUCACAUGCACCAUGAAAGAGACAUUUAAAAAUCAGGCAGACAAUGACUUUGCCAGUUGACUUCAGCCCUCUGUCAACAGCCACUCCAGUGCUAAAACAAAAAACAUAUGAAUGAAGUGGCCACAGUAACAGAUAUGGAGGCUAUACAUGGGCCCAACAGCAUGAAGUACAUUUGCCAAGGCUGAUCUAACUCCUAUCACUGCUGAAUAUCCAACAUGCCAGCAACAGAGCCUGGUGCUGAGCUUCCAAUAUGGCAUCAUUGCUCAUGAAGAUCAAUCAAUCACUUAGUGAGAAGUUGACUAUAUUGAAUCCUUUUCAUCUUGAAGAGCGAGUGGUCUUUUGGUCGUAGGAAUGGACACAUACUUCCAAGGGUAGAAAAAGGAGUUGGUCCCACCUGUCUGCACUGACAGUGACCACUGUUCUACUUUUCAUCCCUGUAACUCUGCAUUCUGCAGGGUUAGAAUUCUCAUCCUCACAAAGGGAUACACUUUCACUCGGGGACAUAGCAAGAUUAUCCAUUGAAUUAUAAGCUACAGCUGCCAUGUGGGCAUUUUUUGCUCCUUGUCUUCAGGGACCAGCAGACAAGGAAAAGAGUCACCAUUCUGGCACAGGUAAUCAACCCAAUCAUCAGGAGGGAGAAGGCUGUUGUCACAAAACGGGUCAUGGAGGAAUAAGUGUGGAACCCUAGUAACCCAUCGCGGUUUCUUUUGGUACUUCUCUUCCCACUUGUGACUAAAAGAACAAGUACAGCAACCCCUUGCUGAAAAGGGCAUGUGUCUUAGUCCACUUGGGCUGCGAUAACAAAAUACAUAGACUGAGUGGCUCAAGCAGUAACAUUGAUUUCUCACAGUUCUGGAGGUUGGGAGUUUCAAGAUCAAAGUGCCGCCAGGUUCUUUGUCUAAUGAGGGCCUGCUUCCUGUUUUGCAAAUGGCUGCCUUCUUGCUGUGUCCUUAAAUGGUGCAGAAAGUCCUCACAUGGCUCUGGUCUCCUCUCCUUGUAAGUGCACUAAGCCCAUCAUGGAGGGGCUUCCAUCUUCAUGACUUCAUCUAAACCUAAUUACCUCCCAAAGGCCCUACCUCCAGAUACCAUCACUCUAGGGUUAAGGGCUUCAACAUGUAAAUCUGGGGUGGGAGGACACAACAACAGAGCAACAUGGUGGUUGAGGCUCAGAUGCUUUGGGGAUGAGGAUAUGGGUCACACUACCUGAAAAGCCACUGAGACUGGCAGAGGUGAUAUCUGAUGGUGACAGGGAUGCAGACAGGUAAUGGAGGAAGGAGAAAAUAAGCACGAGCUAUUUCUCCUAGACUAAUUACAGGAGUGGGGGCUAAAGCUGAUCCCACUCAUCUUCCUCUUCUAAGUUUUCCUUGAGAAAGAGAGACCCACUGGUAUCCUGGAGGAGAUGCCCCAUGAAUAUAUACACAGAAGUGGGUAGGAGUGAGGCAAAGGGUGGGCUGUGGUAGACACAGAGAUGAGCUAAGCAGUGUCUCUUCAAGGAAGGACUUGUACCGAGCUGUGGGGAGUGCAGUCAGCAGACAGCCUCCAGCCACUGGCUCCUUCAGGGUCUGUCCCUGCUACAGAGAUCCUGAGAUCAUGCCCUUCCCAGGGCAGCCCAUACCUGGUAACUGAGCGAGGUGGGUGUCAAAAGGCCUGGACAUCACUGCCCAACCUGGUGCAACUUUUGGUGGGCAAUCCUUGCCCAGAACUGCCUGCUGUGUUGGGUGAGGCUUGGUCACAGUUUGCCUUCUCUCUUUAUUCAGUCUUCUUUCCUGCCCUUUCUUUUCACUGCUGCUAAUCCCUAUUAAACAUCUUGCGCCCAGAUUUGUCUCAUCAUCUACUUGCAAAGAAACCAACCUGGUAUAGGCUACAUGCUUUGGCAGCAGAUGAAAUUUGCUAACUAGGUCAUUUGGAGGAAGUUAUUUCACUCUGUUGCACCUCCAUCUCUUCUUCAGUAAAAUGGAAAUAACAACAUUUGCCUCUCAGGGUCAUGUGAAGUUAAAUAAAAUCAAGUGUGUAAUUACUUGGCACGGUGCUUGGUGUUUUAGAGUGUAUAACGUUUAAGAGAGAAGCUCUCUCAGAAACGGCAACUUCCCAUGCCGACACAGCUUUAUGAGUUCUCUGUUGAGAAGGAGCUGAGUGUUCAGUUUUCUGGCCACUGUGUUGAUAACAACGGCGAAUUCUUACAUACCAGACACAGUGAGCCAAACACUUUUCAAGUGUCUUGCAUAUACUAACUCAUUUAACCCACAAACAACUUGAUCAGGAAGGUUCCUAAUCCCAUUUUACAGAUGAGGAAACUGAGGCACAGAGGUUCUCAAACUGGUUCACAGGUCUCAAAAAUUGCAAGUAGCAGAGCUGGGCUUCAAAUCCAGGAACCUGACACCAGAAUCUGUGUCAGGUGCUCAUGCCCAGUAUAGUACAUGGCCUCUUGGGUCAACUUUAUCCUAGAAAGAGCUUGAUGCAGAAUAAGGCAAUCUUGCCGCUAACCUCCUACUUCCUCAUGACACCCUUCCAGAACUAGUUUUUCUGAAUGGGAAAUAAAAAGAAGAUGAGGAAGAUGUCACCUGACUGCAGAUAGUCUGAGGUUCACUAAUCCUCUGUGAAGCCUUGAGACAGGGAGAAUCCAAAAAUCUGUGUCUUCCUGGGAUUGAGGCCCCAACCAAACGGAACCUCCCUGGCAGAAGGUAUGAGAAUAGGAAUGAGAGACACUGACAAUGGCAGUUUCCUUGUGAAAUUUCGGGCAUUUGCAAAUAAUCAACUCAGCCUUUUCAACAAGUCUUUAUUUUGCUUAAAUUAACAAAACAUAGGUUACAUGCUAUUUUCAGGUAAACUGCUUUAUCACUGAAGCAGAAAGCGAUAUUCACAACUUGGGUUGCUACACAUUUGGAGUUUUAGUUUUUAAAUAGCAAGCCAGAAUUCUGUACAAAAUCAACAUUUGGUGUAAUGUUGUCCAAAUAUGUGAAGGAUUUUAAAUGUUAGCUCUGUUACAUUUUGUUCCAGCAAAGCAGACAAAGAUCAUGAUUCAAAACGCGAUGUUAAUAUUUUAUUAAAUGCCUUUAGGGCUUAAUAAAUACAGUAUGCACAUUGGGCUUUCUCAUGCAGCUACUCAUAUACAAAUAUACCAGAUACCCUUGUGGGGUUAUGGAAGGUCAGCCUCAGUCUCAUGGCCAAUAGGGAGUCAAAUUUUUAAAAAGAAAGAAUGAAAGAGGAAUUAGAAGGCAAACAGAGGGGGGUAAUUAUAGGCCUAAAUAAAAAGGAUAAAAGAAAAAUAUGCCUCUUGGCUGGUCAGUUGGCUGUUUCAGAGUGACAAUGGUCAAAAGCCUGGAAAGCAUUUGGUAGUGACCUAUUUUCAGAGUGUCACAAGGAGAUGAAUGCCAUGCUGUCCUGGCCCUUAGAGUGCUGGUAACCUUGGAUGGUUUUAUCCUUAAUUCUCUCUAGAUGAUCCCCAUGGGCUCUCCUUCAGGUGUGCAUUCUGGCUAAUUAGCUCAUCAGGCAAGUUUGGCCAACUCUUCCCUUAGCUCUGCACUUAGGCACAGGGUGUCCAUAUAAUUGGUCACCCAAACUGGGAUACUUUUUUUUAAAUUUUAUUUGUAUUUAUUUUGAGAGAGAGCUAGAGAGCAAGUGGGGGAAAGUCAGAGAGAGAGGGAGACAGAAACCCAAGGAGACUGGGCACUGUCAGCACAGAGCCUGAUGCGGGCUCCAACUCCCAAACCAUGAGAUCACGACCUGAGCCAAAAUCAAGAGCUCAAUGCUUAACUGACUGAGCCACUCAGACACCCUUAGGAUCCUAUUUAUUUUUUAAGUGUACUUGUUUAUUGAGAGAGAGAGAGAGAGAGAGUGAGAGAGAAUCCUAAGCAGGCUCUGCACAGUCAAUGCGGAGCCUGACUCAGGGCUCAGUCUCAUGAACCUCAAAAUCAUGACCUGAACCAAAACCACGACUCAGACAUUCAACCAACUGAGCCACCCAGGCACCCAAACUGGGAUACUUUUGAGAGUUAAAGUGACACUCUUAGUAAUUACUCUGGGACAAAGCUAUAAACCAGGGUUGUUCCAGGUAAACCAGGAUGUUGGUCACUCAACAACAUACAAUACCAAGAUUUUGGCCACAUUUCUCACAGAGUCAGUGUAUAUUUACCCUCAGGCUAGAUCUAAUUAAGUCUCUCAUACCCAGAGUUAAGAACUAAAAACAGGCUUUAUAAUAUACUUCAUAACACUUUUUAAAUUACUUUCCUUAGAUAUUUUUUUCUCCCUCAAAAUGAAAUUUUACUUGGAAGGCUAACAUGAAAAACAAAUGAAAUUUGAACCACUUUGAGUGAAGUGGGAAUGAGGGCUGAGAGUCUCUCCUUCUUCCCUGGCAGCUCUGGAGGGACCCAAGAGGGACCUCUGACUCCUCGAUCCACAAUUUGGAAACCUCCAUUCUAGACCAUGCUCUCUCCAUCUCAACAUGAACUUGUUCCUCAAACAUACCCACAUGAUUCAUUUGGUUGGAAAAGACUAGAGUUUGCUAUUCUGGAUUUCCUGGUUCCUGUUCCAGCCUGUUCCUGUUCCAUACCCAGAAUGAACCGGAAGUCUGCAGCCCAUACAGUAUGUCUUUGACACAGAGCUACUGAAAGAAUGAACACGUAACAGGACCCCAAGAGCCGGAGGUCUCACAGACCAUGCUGCCAGCCUUGUGAGUGAUGUCAUCAGAGGCACUAAUGAGCGAUAUUCAAAAUGAACGGAAGGCAAGUUGCCCCUCUGAAGACUUGGAACAGUUUCCUGGCACAGAGCUGUGCUUGCACCACAGAAACCCACACUAUUCCACUCACCAUCCCCUUUGCAGGUGCUUGACCUCAGGGCAUGGGUGGCAGUAGGAAACCCAGGCAGCUUUGGCACUUUGUCAUGGUGGUGAGGCUGAAAGAAAGAGCUUUAAGCAAGGUAGCAGGAGAAACGUGUCAAGAUUGACAAAGCCCACGGGUGGAUGAUUCGAAGUAGAUGCGGCUGAGGGGGAAGCACCUUGGCCAAAAGAAAAAGCCACAUCCAGCAGUCAGAGAUGGGCCAGGUGGUCUAAAGAAAUGUACUGGGAACUUUAGGAGAAGAGAAAGCAAAGUAAUAAACAGUACCUACCUCUACGAAUAAGAGUUGAGACUACCAACCAAGAGGCAGUUUUUACAUAAACACAGACACAGUACCAGAGGGUUACUGCUUACGGCUAGUCACAGGUAUGCGACAUCCUGUAGGCACUGCUUUAUUCGGCACCCAUGCCUAAGGAAAGCCUACUGCUGGGCUCAAGCCACCCACGGUAGUCUUCACCCCUGACUAGAAUCACGAUUCAAGCAUCUAGGAAGAAAUAAUUAGUCACUGUUGGUGGGCUGUGUAUUUUUAGACUUAUUAAGUGACCAUAAACAUCACAGGCAUCAUCUUCUAGUACAAAAUUGUGUGAUUAUACAAGAGUACGUGUGUGUGUGUUGUGUGUGUGCAUGUGCGUGUUCAUGUCAAGAGGCUCUUACAGAACAGGUGAGAAGCCCUAAAUCAGCAGGAUGAUUUCAAGGUCUCCUACUCCAUAUUUUAAUGAAUCUGAAGGCAGAAACAAAUAUUUAUGGAGUCCCUGGGAGGAGUCUUGGGAGCCACCAUUUUAACCUCGUCCAUCUUUCUCAACCCUGGCUGCACAGAAGAAUCCUCUGGGGGAAACUUUUAAACAAAUACCCAUAUUGGGGCUCCACUAGACCAAUGAAAUCAGACUCUCAGCAGCUGAGGCUCAGCCUUGGUAUUAUUUUUUAAGGUUCCCCUAGAUGAUUCUGAUAUGCAGGCAGCUUUGAGAACACAGCCCAGAAUCUGCUUACCAGUAACUACCUGAUGGUUAGCAUAAUACUCUAAAUAAGCAGUGAUCAGAUUUCAAGAAUUCCUCCCCACAUCCCUGGUCUGGCACUGAGAAGAGAAACCCACUGCGCCUAAGGCUUCCUGCAGCUGCCUUGUGGGGCAUGAGGCCUCAGAGCAAGGUCUCCAGGAGGGGGCUCUGCUCAGGACACAAGGGGUGAGCUGGGACACACUGACCACUUUGGGGACCAUCUGAAAAUGCGCGCCACAAGCCAUACCUGAUGACGGAAGCUGCUGCAGAACAAGGCAGACCCAGGCAAGGAUCUAAGUUCUGCUGGGUUUUCAUUAGUUAAAAUUAUUCCUGUUUUCUUAAACAUGCAGAAACUACUUGAGAAUAUUCUCUUCAAUACCUCACCCUCCUUUGUCAUUUUUGGCAUUGUGGAUGAUUCAAUAAAGGUGAUUUUUAUAUAUACAA